AGGACGAACGCUGGCGGCGUGCUUAACACAUGCAAGUCGAGCGGUAAGGCCCUUCGGGGUACACGAGCGGCGAACGGGUGAGUAACACGUGGGUGACCUGCCCCCUACUCUGGGAUAAGCCUGGGAAACUGGGUCUAAUACCGGAUAUGACUACAUGUCGCAUGGUGUGUGGUGGAAAGUUUUUCGGUGGGGGAUGGGCCCGCGGCCUAUCAGCUUGUUGGUGGGGUGAUGGCCUACCAAGGCGACGACGGGUA
RNAcentral lists this ribosomal RNA (254 nucleotides) under uncultured bacterium. RNAcentral describes it as "partial small subunit ribosomal RNA". It matches the Rfam family "Bacterial small subunit ribosomal RNA", at positions 26 to 285 of the family's 1533-position model. The record is from RNAcentral.